RNAcentral lists this ribosomal RNA (253 nucleotides) under uncultured bacterium. Its description in RNAcentral is "partial 16S ribosomal RNA". It matches the Rfam family "Bacterial small subunit ribosomal RNA", at positions 524 to 776 of the family's 1533-position model. The record is from RNAcentral.
UACGUAGGGGGCAAGCGUUGUCCGGAUUUAUUGGGCGUAAAGAGCGUGUAGGCGGUCAGGCAGGUCCGUUGUGAAAACUCGAGGCUCAACCUCGAGACGCCGAUGGAAACCAUCUGGCUAGAGUCCGGAAGAGGAGAAUGGAAUUCCUGGUGUAGCGGUGAAAUGCGCAGAUAUCAGGAAGAACACCGAUGGCGAAGGCAGUUCUCUGGGACGGUACUGACGCUGAAGCGCGAAAGCCAGGGGAGCGAACGGG